AAGUCGUAACAAGGUUUCCGUAGGUGAACCUGCGGAAGGAUCAUUACAACAAGGUUCCCUGGCCCUCGAAGCUUCGGCGGAGGGGCGCUACAGCCUGACUUUAUACCCACCCUUUGCCUAUGUGUACCCCUAUUGCUUCCCUCGGCGGGUUCGCCCGCCGACAGGAACCAACUAAACCCUUUGCAUUAUACAUUUAACACUUCCGAUACAAAACUAAAUUAUUACAACUUUUAACAAUGGAUCUCUUGGUUCUG
RNAcentral lists this unclassified non-coding RNA (254 nucleotides) under Periconia byssoides. RNAcentral's name for it is "partial internal transcribed spacer region". The stretch from base 1 to 46 matches the Rfam family "Eukaryotic small subunit ribosomal RNA", at positions 1786 to 1831 of the family's 1831-position model. The record is from RNAcentral. Lineage: Eukaryota; Fungi; Ascomycota; Dothideomycetes; Pleosporales; Periconiaceae.